UGGGGAAUAUUGCACAAUGGGGGAAACCCUGAUGCAGCAACGCCGCGUGAGUGAUGACGGCCUUCGGGUUGUAAAGCUCUGUCUUCAGGGACGAUAUUGACGGUACCUGAGGAGGAAGCCACGGCUAACUACGUGCCAGCAGCCGCGGUAAUACGUAGGUUGCAAGCGUUGUCCGGAUUUACUGGGCGUAAAGGGAGCGUAGGCGGACUUUUAAGUGAGAUGUGAAAUACCCGGGCUCAACCUGGGUGCUGCAUUUCAAACUGGAAGUCUAGAGUGCAGGAGAGGAGAGUGGAAUUCCUAGUGUAGCGGUGAAAUGCGUAGAGAUUAGGAAGAACACCAGUGGCGAAGGCGACUCUCUGGACUGUAACUGACGCUGAGGCUCGAAAGCGUGGGGAGCAAACA
This 402-nucleotide ribosomal RNA is filed under the name uncultured bacterium. RNAcentral's name for it is "bacterial SSU rRNA". It matches the Rfam family "Bacterial small subunit ribosomal RNA", at positions 355 to 774 of the family's 1533-position model. The record is from RNAcentral.